UUUUUAGACCUCCCUGGAGGAGUUUGCCACCUAACCGAUAACCCUCGAAACACCUUUCCAGCUUUUGAAAAAUCAGCAUGUAUACCAUCGUCGUCAGUCUACCUCUCAAGAGAAGUAUACUAAAUGAACUUAAUACACUCACUACGUCAGAUCGAGGUGCAGCUAAUAAACUGGGGGUUGGUGAACUACAAUAUUUCCCCAAAUCACUACACAAAACUAAUUAUGAACAGCACUAUGAAACUAGUACUCAAAACAGGAUUCAGCAGUAAUUACCAAAAGAAAAUGGUUAUGAACCCCUACAGCUCUAAAAUGCGC
This 315-nucleotide ribosomal RNA is filed under the name Calliaster elegans. Its description in RNAcentral is "partial 12S ribosomal RNA". Lineage: Eukaryota; Metazoa; Echinodermata; Asteroidea; Valvatida; Goniasteridae. The record is from RNAcentral.